GAUGAACGCUGGCGGCGUGCCUAAUACAUGCAAGUCGAGCGAACAGACGAGGAGCUUGCUCCUCUUACGUUAGCGGCGGACGGGUGAGUAACACGUGGAUAACCUACCUAUAAGACUGGGAUAACUUCGUGAAACCGGAUCUAAUACCGGAUAAUAUAUUGAACCGCAUGGUUCAAUAUUGAAAGACGGUUUUGCUGUCACUUUUAGAUGGAUCCGCGCCGCAUUAGCUAGUUGGUAAGGUAACGGCUUACCAAGGCGACUAUUCGUAGCCGACCUGAGAGGAUGAUCGGCCAAACUGGAACUAAGACACGGUCCAGACUACUACGGGAGGAAGCAGUAGGGAAUCUUCCGCAAUGGGCGAAAGCCUGACGGAGCAACGCCGCGUGAGUGAUGAAGGUCUACGGAUCGUAAAACUCUGUUAUUAGGGAAGAACAAAUGUGUAAGUAACUAUGCACGUCUUGACGGUACCUAAUCAGAAAGCCACGGCUAACUACGUG
Molecule: ribosomal RNA, 497 nt
Filed under: uncultured bacterium
Lineage: Bacteria
Description: partial 16S ribosomal RNA
Rfam family: Bacterial small subunit ribosomal RNA
Source: RNAcentral